Molecule: long non-coding RNA, 555 nt
Organism: Gasterosteus aculeatus aculeatus (three-spined stickleback)
Lineage: Eukaryota; Metazoa; Chordata; Actinopteri; Perciformes; Gasterosteidae
Source: Ensembl
CUGCACCGUCAAUGAGGACAUCACCUUUGGGCAGCAGAAGGCGGAAGAGAGACCGUGCUCGGGGGGGAAAAGGACCAGCGUGGUCACGAGGCUCUGAGUGCGAUCGCUUCACCAGAGCACAAUUUAAAAUACUGCUCUUACCACAAGUGACAGUAUUCGUGCCUUGAGGUGAACAGGAGGAGUAGACGGGGGUCCAGUCCAUGUGACAAUAACAACUUCAUCCAAACCACAGCAGUGUCCACCACCUGUACAGGAACAACAAAUAGACACAUUUAGCGGCCAGAUAGUGAACGCUGCAGAGCAUUCAACAGCUGGAGAGCAUUCAACAGCUGGAGAGCUGGAUGGAUAUUUCCCCCUGGAUGAAAGCAGAAGCUGUGCGGUGGCCUUCAUGUGCAUUCGUGCCAUUUUUAUUCCGAGCUGUGACUCCAACGGAGAAAUGCAACAUCUUUCACAGAUUUGUGCGUUCUGGGUUACCGUAGCAACACGACGGCAAAACAGGUUUAGCGAUGAAGACUUGCAGUUUCAGCAACAUAUAUGACAGGAUUUGAUGAAGGU